UCCCUGGUAGCUCAGUUGGUAAAGAAUCUGCCUGCAAUGCAGGAGACCCUGGUUCGAUUCCUGGGUCGGGAA
Non-coding RNA from Bos taurus (domestic cattle), 72 nucleotides. The record is from Rfam. Lineage: Eukaryota; Metazoa; Chordata; Mammalia; Artiodactyla; Bovidae.